This is a regulatory RNA element of Drosophila melanogaster (fruit fly), 59 nucleotides long. It matches the Rfam family "Drosophila rox1 ncRNA". The record is from Rfam. NCBI's taxonomy places the organism in Eukaryota, Metazoa, Arthropoda, Insecta, Diptera, Drosophilidae.
UUCGUGUUUCGGAAAACGCAUUAAAAGGCGUAAUUUUAAAUCGUUUUCCGAAAUGGGAA